Molecule: transfer RNA, 69 nt
Filed under: Oratosquilla oratoria
Lineage: Eukaryota; Metazoa; Arthropoda; Malacostraca; Stomatopoda; Squillidae
Description: tRNA-Asp
Source: RNAcentral
AAAAAACUAGUUAAUAAUUAUAACAUAAGCUUGUCAAGCUUAAAUAACUAAAUAUAUUAGUAUUUUUUG